UACGUAGGUGGCAAGCGUUGUCCGGAUUUACUGGGUGUAAAGGGCGUGCAGCCGGAGAGACAAGUCAGAUGUGAAAUCCACGGGCUCAACCCGUGAACUGCAUUUGGAACUGUGCUGCUAGAGUGUCGGAGAGGCAGGCGGAAUUCCUAGUGUAGCGGUGAAAUGCGUAGAUAUUAGGAGGAACACCAGUGGCGAAGGCGGCCUGCUGGACGAUGACUGACGUUGAGGCUCGAAAGCGUGGGGAGCAAACAGG
This 253-nucleotide ribosomal RNA is filed under the name uncultured Blautia sp. RNAcentral's name for it is "partial 16S ribosomal RNA". It matches the Rfam family "Bacterial small subunit ribosomal RNA", at positions 524 to 776 of the family's 1533-position model. The record is from RNAcentral. Lineage: Bacteria; Bacillati; Bacillota; Clostridia; Lachnospirales; Lachnospiraceae.